UCACAGGGAAGGAGCUUAGAAAACACUGAAUAAAAAAUAGUUAUUACAAAGAUCAAGUGGCAGCUUAUAAAAGCUGGCUGUAACCACCCUUCAGCUGCCUGGCAAACUGCAUUUUUUGAGACCACAGCCCUGGGCUCCCUUGGAGUUAGCAACAUCAAGGUUAUCAUCCCCUGACCCAUCAGCAGGGACUCCUGGCUCUCCCACUCCCACCACCUUCAUCCAGCUAUUGAGGGCUGUCUGCCAACAGUGAUGAAGCUGAUGGCUGUCAGGUUUUGGGGGCUAAGGGGGAAGAAGUGUCUUGGCGACGAUUGCGGCCAUGGCGGAGCCGCGCUGCCAGAGGUCCUGGGCUUGUUCCCACUGACUGCUGUGUCCCUGCUUGUGGCUGCUGGACUAAACUACACCAUCGGGGCAGCAAAACAUCAAACCAACAAACAGAAGGUGAAGUCAAAGGCAGAGAUCAAGCAUGGACCGUUUCAUCUCAAGUGGAAGGAGUUUAGGAAUUCAUGAGCAAAUGAAAAUGGAAACCUGUCUGCAACCUUUAUGAUACCAGAUAUAACGUUCAUCAAAAGUCUCUGAGCUCCAGUAACAGUGGAAAAGGAGAGCUGUGGAAAAAAAAUUGAGAGAUACUGCUUCUCUGUUCUGAUCUGCACCUAAAAAAAAAAAAAAGACAACUCAUGACUCUUGCCCUGCACCCUCGAACCAUGUCUGCCUGGCCUGGGUGGUACGAGACACCUGACAUGCUUAGCUGAAAUAAGAGAGCUAGUGCCUAGGUUCAGUCCUUUUUUUUGCAUUUUGACAAUGCAGUGCCAGCCAUCUAUUAGACAUUACGAUUCAGUUAUUUUCUACUUGUGCAAAAGCUAGACUGAGCGAGCUGAUCCAUGUGAUGCCAAUAGCAAUGAAAUUGGUGUAGUUUGCCUAUAUCAGGAAUAUGAGGCUGUGUAUACUGUUUAGCAUAGAUAUUAGGUGGCAUGCCUAAAAGAUUUUCUGCAAUGCUGAGAUUCUUGAAGAAAGACCACCCAUGCUGUGACUCCUGAUAGACUCAGCAGUAUGGAAUGAGUCAUGCACACAUCUCGAAAUACAAUGUGCACAUACUCUGCUGGGUCCAGCUGUACAGCUAGUCUGGAGCCCAGAAAAGGAGGAGCAAAGAAGACAACAUUCACUUAAGCCUGGGUCUUUGCUAGCGGGGCUAGAGGAGUCAAUGUCCACGGCUCAAGCCCUUGUUCUGCACAUUGUGGGAAUCCAAUAAUAGGCUUUUUACACUAGUCCUGAUGUGUAGAGUGGAAUGUGCCUAACCAGGGAUGCAGGCAGAGCAAAUCCUUGUUGCAAAUUUUAACCUGAAUCACCACAGUUUGAGAAGGACAGGAAAAAGAAGUGGAACCUGGUGCAGAUUUAACACUGGUAGGUUUUACUACCAUAUUAGUAUCUCAGUGAUUUCAUACGGAGAAGUUUACAUUGAAGAUUUUUAGUAAAACUUUCUGUGAAUAAAUCUGCUUUAAGAACGUAAGGUAAACACUCAGGCUGCAACCCCAUCUAUGGCUCUCUGGCUGAGCAACACAGUAUCUGAUCUGUGAUGAAUACCCAUACUAUCUGUCAAAUGUACAUCUCCAAAAUCAAGCUGUUUCAUUAAAAAUAAUAGAUGCGGUCCUAGUAACCAUGUAGGAAAGGUCUUUGCAAAGCAGGGAAGUCAGCUCCAGAGGAAAGCUGUAGGACCUGGGCUGGUGAACCUUCAUUGCUGUUUUUGCAAGAGGUGACCAUUACUGAGGCGUGGCAGCUUUAACCAGUUAAAUUACAAAUCCAAGUAAAGCAUCGACUCAUAAAGAAGAAAACUCCAGUUGAAAUGCUUCAUUUCCUAAACCAUGUAUGUACUCACCUCCUUUCUUCACAGAAGAAUACCAUCACUGUAAGUCAGUUGUGCUACAGCUUUUUAAGAAAAAUUAUUUGUUCAGGAACCUG
Harpia harpyja (harpy eagle) is the source of this 1953-nucleotide long non-coding RNA. RefSeq lists it as uncharacterized. The record is from RefSeq and is a predicted model, not a curated record. Lineage: Eukaryota; Metazoa; Chordata; Aves; Accipitriformes; Accipitridae. The transcript is spliced from 4 exons.